UUUGGGCGGUGCUUAACCAUGCAAGUCGAACGGCAGCACGGCCGGGUAACCGGUGGGUGGCGAGUGGCGGACGGGUGAGUAAUGCGUAGGAAUCUGCCUUGUAGUGGGGGAUAACUCGGGGAAACUCGGGCUAAUACCGCAUACGCUCUACGGAGGAAAGCGGGGGAUCUUCGGACCUCGCGCUAUGAGAUGAGCCUACGUCCGAUUAGCUAGUUGGCAGGGUAAUGGCCUACCAAGGCGACGAUCGGUAGCUGGUCUGAGAGGACGAUCAGCCACACUGGAACUGAGACACGGUCCAGACUCCUACGGGAGGCAGCAGUGGGGAAUAUUGGACAAUGGGCGCAAGCCUGAUCCAGCAAUGCCGCGUGUGUGAAGAAGGCCUGCGGGUUGUAAAGCACUUUAAGCAGGGAAGAAGGGUGGGGGGUUAAUACCCUCUCACAUUGACGUUACCUGCAGAAUAAACUCCGGCUAACUCCGUGCCAGCAAU
This 487-nucleotide ribosomal RNA is filed under the name methanotrophic bacterium. Its description in RNAcentral is "bacterial SSU rRNA". It matches the Rfam family "Bacterial small subunit ribosomal RNA", at positions 38 to 515 of the family's 1533-position model. Lineage: Bacteria; Pseudomonadati; Pseudomonadota; Alphaproteobacteria. The record is from RNAcentral.